RNAcentral lists this ribosomal RNA (458 nucleotides) under uncultured bacterium. RNAcentral's name for it is "SSU rRNA". It matches the Rfam family "Bacterial small subunit ribosomal RNA", at positions 26 to 518 of the family's 1533-position model. The record is from RNAcentral.
AGAAUCAACGCUGGCGGCGUGCCUAACACAUGCAAGUCGCACGAGAAAGGGACUUCGGUCCUGAGUAAAGUGGCGCACGGGUGAGUAACACGUGAAUCAUCUACCUCCGAAUGGGGAAUAACUGAGAGAAAUCUUAGCUAAUACCGCAUAAUACCUACGGGUCAAAGCAGCAAUGCGUUUGGAGAGGAGUUCGCGGUCGAUUAGUUAGUUGGCGGGGUAAUGGCCCACCAAGACGAUGAUCGAUAUCCGGCCUGAGAGGGCGCACGGACACACUGGAACUGAAACACGGUCCAGACUCCUACGGGAGGCAGCAGUGGGGAAUUUUGCGCAAUGGGGGAAACCCUGACGCAGCAACGCCGCGUGGAGGAUGAAGCCCCUUGGGUGUAAACUCCUUUCGAUCGGGAAGAUAAUGACGGUACCGAUAUAAGAAGCCCGGCUAACUUCGCGCCAGCAGCCGC